RNAcentral lists this ribosomal RNA (876 nucleotides) under Escherichia coli. Its description in RNAcentral is "bacterial SSU rRNA". It matches the Rfam family "Bacterial small subunit ribosomal RNA", at positions 477 to 1357 of the family's 1533-position model. The record is from RNAcentral. Lineage: Bacteria; Pseudomonadati; Pseudomonadota; Gammaproteobacteria; Enterobacterales; Enterobacteriaceae.
ACCUUAUGAAUAAGGAUCGGCUAACUCCGUGCCAGCAGCCGCGGUAAUACGGAGGAUCCGAGCGUUAUCCGGAUUUAUUGGGUUUAAAGGGUGCGUAGGCGGCCUUUUAAGUCAGCGGUGAAAGUCUGUGGCUCAACCAUAGAAUUGCCGUUGAAACUGGGAGGCUUGAGUAUGUUUGAGGCAGGCGGAAUGCGUGGUGUAGCGGUGAAAUGCUUAGAUAUCACGCAGAACCCCGAUUGCGAAGGCAGCCUGCCAAGCCAUGACUGACGCUGAUGCACGAAAGCGUGGGGAUCAAACAGGAUUAGAUACCCUGGUAGUCCACGCAGUAAACGAUGAUCACUAGCUGUUUGCGAUACACAGUAAGCGGCACAGCGAAAGCGUUAAGUGAUCCACCUGGGGAGUACGCCGGCAACGGUGAAACUCAAAGGAAUUGACGGGGGCCCGCACAAGCGGAGGAACAUGUGGUUUAAUUCGAUGAUACGCGAGGAACCUUACCCGGGUUUGAACGCAUUCGGACCGAGGUGGAAACACCUUUUCUAGCAAUAGCCGUUUGCGAGGUGCUGCAUGGUUGUCGUCAGCUCGUGCCGUGAGGUGUCGGCUUAAGUGCCAUAACGAGCGCAACCCUUGCCACUAGUUACUAACAGGUGAUGCUGAGGACUCUGGUGGGACUGCCAGCGUAAGCUGCGAGGAAGGCGGGGAUGACGUCAAAUCAGCACGGCCCUUACAUCCGGGGCGACACACGUGUUACAAUGGCGUGGACAAAGGGAAGCCACCUGGCGACAGGGAGCGAAUCCCCAAACCACGUCUCAGUUCGGAUCGGAGUCUGCAACCCGACUCCGUGAAGCUGGAUUCGCUAGUAAUCGCGCAUCAGCCAUG